Erinaceus europaeus (western European hedgehog) is the source of this 277-nucleotide non-coding RNA. NCBI's taxonomy places the organism in Eukaryota, Metazoa, Chordata, Mammalia, Eulipotyphla, Erinaceidae. The record is from Rfam.
GGCUGUGAGGGAGAUCUGGCUGCGACAUCUGUCACCCCAUUGAUCACCAGGACUGACUUGGCUGAUCUGGCUGGCUAGGCAGGUGUCCCCUUCCUCCCUCACUGCUCCAUGUGUGUCUCUCCCAAAGCUUUGUGCUUGGUGGAAGAGGACAGCCUUCCCCCAACAGAGACUCAUCUUCAGUCGAGGGUAGCUGCGCUCCCUUGCUAGAACCUCCAAGCAAGCUCUCAAGAAAAGGAAUCCCGUACCACCAUAAACCAAAGCUGAACAAUGCUCUGGU